GGUGCGCCUGAAAGAUGAAAGGCUCUCAAGAUGGACUCUGGGAGCAAGGACAGGCAUACGGGGGUUGCGGUAAGGGGAGGCUACACCCACGCAUGUCUUAAACACACCCCAUGAGGCAACGAGGGUCACAUUCCUGGCUACAGAGAACAGACUGCAGAGAAGUCUACCUGGGAGUCUUGUCGGAAGUGGGCUGCGGUGUGCGGAUCGCGCAUGGCCGGAAGUGGCGCCGUUUUGGCGCGCCCGCCUGCCGUGGGACCCACACGUCCCGGUAACUUCUGGCGGCGGUGCCAGUUGUCCCCUGUUUGCAGGAUGGGCGAGAAGAGGCGAAGAGCUGUGCAGUUGUUACCCAGAUGUGCGCAGUAGCCCCGGACCAGAACGUUUUUCCACACGAGGUCUGAGCGAAGAAUUGUGGGACCUGAGGAGUUUGAGGGCCUCCGGCCCGAGUGGUCUGUGCAUACGGGUCUGUCUGUUAUCCAGUACUGUGAGGGAGAUGGCCGACUUUAGUCUUCCGCGGGCUGGAAGCAGCUAGGGGUACUUGGAAGCACGGGACACUUCGAGGACAAGCUCAGCCUGGCAGCAUUGUGACUUCGUGGAGGACAGGGGAAUGUGUUCCUCUGUAGACUAUAGAUCUUAGCUACUCUUUGUGUCUCUAAGAACUGUAGCCAAAUGAAAUGACGUUUGAAGGCACAGAAC
RNAcentral lists this long non-coding RNA (693 nucleotides) under Rattus norvegicus (Norway rat). Its description in RNAcentral is "long non-coding RNA NONRATT019195". Lineage: Eukaryota; Metazoa; Chordata; Mammalia; Rodentia; Muridae. The record is from RNAcentral.